CAGUGGCUCAGUUGGUUAGAGCGCCGCCCUGUCACGGCGGAGGCCGUGGGUUCGAGUCCCAUCUG
Molecule: transfer RNA, 65 nt
Filed under: Candidatus Caccomorpha excrementavium
Lineage: Bacteria; Bacillati; Bacillota; Clostridia
Rfam family: tRNA
About the family: Transfer RNA (tRNA) molecules are approximately 80 nucleotides in length.
Source: RNAcentral